CCGCGCCUCCGGGGGUGGGGUGGGGGGCCCGAAGCGGCGUCCCAGCUUGCUGCCUACGGCGGCCACCGCGAGGGCUUAGCGGUUAGAACCCAAAACAGAUCUUGUUGUCGCUAAGGAGACUCGAAGGGGAAGGGAGCCUCGGUCGCGCACUGAGAAGAUCGACGGGGGCGGGAUUCUAGAACUUGCACUGGGGAGACCCGAGUGAGCGGGAGCCCCAGAUGGGAACUGAGUGGACAGGAGGACUAGUAAAAGAUGAGCGCAGGUAAAGCAUUCUGUAUGGCCUCUCAGCUGACGAUCUCAUCCUAAGGUGCUAUGCCAGAAUGGGGCCUGAAGAGGUCCAGAAUCUGGAGCAUAAACUGACCGCAGGAGUGGUGCUGCAGCGUGUCAACGUCCGCUCCCAUCACUUAGCGAAACAGAAGAGCCUGUCCCUCGGACCAACCCUCCAAUGAGUUCUUCAGCCUUCCUAAAGGCUGGGCACCAGGCAGUCUCUACAGGGGUCCUUGUGGGCAAUCUACUCAGGUCCAGCUAUUGCUGAAGUUCAAAUGUUAAGCCAACCUUGCGUUCAGGAGAAAGCCAGCUUGGAACUAGCCUUGGAGAUAGCCUAGAAUUCCAGUGAGGAACCUCUCUGCUUGGCUACCCACCCAGAACCUUGCUUCAUGGGCUACUGUGGAGGCAUGAGAGUGAUGGAAAAUCCUUGGAGCUGCAACUGGACCUGCGGACUGGCUGCCAAGCACUGUCUGCCCAUCUGCUGUACCCCGAUGAUGCUAUGGCUAGGCCUAGGAGAGGCCUGUCAAGCCCCAUUUUCUAAGAAGUCAUUGCAGGCAGCUCUGGAUGUGGUGAAAAUAGGUCACUCACUCACUGGACAUGAGUCCUUCCUCGGGUUUCAGAUUCCUCAUCAGAGAAGUUACAAUUGUCUCAAAGGGAAGUCAUCUAUUUUAAAAAGUAGAUUAAAAAUAAAAUCU
This is a long non-coding RNA of Peromyscus leucopus (white-footed mouse), 962 nucleotides long. RefSeq lists it as uncharacterized. Lineage: Eukaryota; Metazoa; Chordata; Mammalia; Rodentia; Cricetidae. The transcript is spliced from 3 exons. The record is from RefSeq and is a predicted model, not a curated record.